AGCGAACGCUGGCGGCAGGCCUAACACAUGCAAGUCGAACGGAUCCUUCGGGAUUAGUGGCGGACGGGUGAGUAACACGUGGGAACGUGCCCUUUGGUUCGGAACAACUCAGGGAAACUUGAGCUAAUACCGGAUGUGCCCUUCGGGGGAAAGAUUUAUCGCCAUUGGAGCGGCCCGCGUCUGAUUAGCUAGUUGGUGAGGUAACGGCCCACCAAGGCGACGAUCAGUAGCUGGUCUGAGAGGAUGAUCAGCCACACUGGGACUGAGACACGGCCCAGACUCCUACGGGAAGCAGCAGUGGGGAAUCUUGCGCAAUGGGCGAAAGCCUGACGCAGCCAUGCCGCGUGAAUGAUGGAGGUCUUAGGAUUGUAAAAUUCUUUCAGCGGGGACGAUAAUGACGGUACCCGCAGAAGAAGCUCCGGCUAACUUCGUG
RNAcentral lists this ribosomal RNA (433 nucleotides) under uncultured bacterium. Its description in RNAcentral is "partial 16S ribosomal RNA". It matches the Rfam family "Bacterial small subunit ribosomal RNA", at positions 29 to 507 of the family's 1533-position model. The record is from RNAcentral.